GAAAGUUAAAAGCGAGCACGUCUUUCUGGAAGUCUGGCUGGGCCUGCACUCAAUCUCCCAGCCCCGCUGUCCGCACUGCAGUGCUUGCUCUCCUCGGGCAGCGGCCUGACUGCCUGGCUGCUCCUGCUCUGUCCAGGCAGCCCAGCUGGUCAGAGAUCCCUGCAGGGCCCCGGCCCUCAGAGAGGUCACCCAGUCCCCCUUCCCAGCGGCCAGGUUGCCUGGCCAGUGUGGAUGUGGGGAGGAGCAGAGGUCUCCUGGAUGCUGUGGCUGCACAGACAUCUCCAGACUGCCAAGUUCUGCCUGCCUCCCGUGCAGCCAGCACCCGGCCAGGCUUGAAUCAUUCUUCAGCUUGAGCUGCGUCCCACGCUGCCGGCUCCAGUUCGAUCCCUGCAGAGCAGCACUCAUCCACCCACACUUGCUGCUGGCACCCGGUUGCCUGUCAAACUCACCCCGCUGCAUGCUGGGUCCUCACACCCAUGGCACACAUCCCAGUUCCAGGGUCGCUGCAGUGACGGAUUGAGUCCCAGAGCUUGAAAUUGUCCUCAACUCUGCCCUUGCAUCCCUGUCUGAUGGUGAGGUCUCUGGGUUCCUGCAGCCUGGUCACUCUGGUCAGCGGGUCCAGCUCCGAUGACUGCAGUGUUUCCUGACAUGUCCCCUGCUGCCUUGUGUGUGGUUUGUGAAAUCAUGAGAAAUAGACACAUUGAUCUCUGCCCUGGUCCCUGGCCUACAGCUGCUGAAGCCCUUGCAGACAGGGGCACUGGGAGGUUGUUUGUUCUAGUAUCGGGUCUUUGACCCCAGUUCCAGAGCUCCUAGGAUGUCUGUCAUUUCCUGAGUGAUAGGAGGGUCCAGCACACAGGUCCUCGUCCUCUGGAAUUUCCUGGGAGGUGAGAGUAUCCAUUGUUCCUGUGAGGGACCUCUCUGGUGGGCUCCUGGGAAGCGGGAGGACCAAGCCAGCUCCACCUGCCCCUCAUCGUCUGGGAAGAGGAUUAAUAAUUGGUUAUGCAGAUGGGAUGCAGCCUCCAUAAAAAUCCCUGAAUUCCUGGGUUUGAGAGCUUCCGGACAGCUGAACACACAGAAGUCUCUGGAGGGGAACCCCGAGGAUGGACCCUGUCCAGGGCCCUCUCCACUGUGUCCCUUGUUGUAUCCUUUAUGACAAAUGACUGUACUAUGUAGAGUGUGCUCCUGCAUUCUGCUUUAACAGAUUAACAAUGUCGAUGAGGGACAGUAGGAACCCCUAGUCUGUAGCCUGUCAGUCAGAAGUUCCAGAGGCCUGCACUCGCAGGUGGCAUCGCAAGAGGGGACAAUAUGGCUGAGCCCUGUGACGCUGUCUCCAAGUGGACAGGGUCAGAAUCGAGUUGAGCACACACUUGGUGCUGAAGGCUGGAGGGCUGGCUGUGAAUGGGAGAAAACCUCACCCACGCUUGGAUCUGGGAAGUGUGUUGUGUGGUCUUCACAGUAAGACUAUUUUCUAGCUGGAGUUAGCUCAGCUGACCCCAUCUGCCUGGGUGACUUUCACAAACUUAUUGAGUGAAAGGUGCUAAAUACAUGACUAAAUGUAUGUGAAGUUCAAGAAUAAGCAGACUGGCAGAGGUAGGUGCUAUCAUUGCCUCUAGGGCGGGUGUGCCGCAGACCAGCUGCAGUCGAUGUAGGGUAGGAAGGGGAGAUGUCCUGGGCCGGAGAUGAGAAAAGAACCUUCACAAGCAAUGUUCAGGUUCCCUCUGAGAAGUCUUUGGGUCUGAUUUAUUUUUAUAUCUUUAAGCAACAGCUAAGAGGCAUUGGGCGGAACAUGUUCACAUUUUAUGUUGCCUUAGCAAUAUCUGAUGAGGUACAGGUUAUUUUUGCUAAACAGUAUAUUUUUUCUAAGCUGAUUCAUUUCAUUGAACAUCAUGAAUACAUUUCUUAAAAAUUGCAAUUGUUCCCUCAUUGUCCCAUACCUAAGCAGAACAAAAAGUAACUUAAUCAAAUUAAAUGUCAAACUUGUGGUCACCAGCUAGCCCUUGAGAAACUGCACAAUGGUUAAUAUAGUUUGCUAUUAGCUCUAUUUAUCUUAACUAAAUGUCAUUUGGGUUCAUAGUCCAUGAGCAGGAGAUAUUUACAGCACUUUGAGAGAUAUUGAGUAACUUGCCUCCUUAAUGCAUUUACCUGUCUUAACGUUCUUUUUAUUUCCCAUUUCCCACUAUUUCUUACAUCUAAAGCCUGACCUUUCAAUCUCUUCAUAAGACCCCUUUAGUAAAAAGAAUGUCAGCAAUAAGAGAGGGAGUUAUAGUAGUGGGCAACAGAGGGGGUUUUAGGAGAGGUUUCUUUAGGAGUGGAUGUGGCAAUAGAACUAAGAGAAACUGGAAUUUGGGGCUUAUGAGCCAGAUCAGAUUUCAAUAUAUCAUUGCCAAUUUGCCUCAUGGAGAGUUUGUUGUUAGUCAUAAACACAAUGGCUCCUGUGAUCAGAGGAAUAAUUAUAAACAUUAUGGCAAGAAAAAAAUAAAACAUGAGGGUACGAUGUGUUCCACCCUUUCUUUCCCCCAGCUGGAACUUUGUCAAGCAGCAAUGGAGGUCCGUUGGGCUUCGCCACAGUUCUGCAUGACCUAAAAUCCCUCCACACUUGGAUUUCAUGAUGUUUUAUGGAAUGUGCAGUGACCUUGUUUUCCACGUUUCGAACCAGAAAAUCUUUGGACUCAUGGGAACAUGGGUUUGGAGCCAGACAGACAGCCUGACAACAGGGCUGUGGAAGAACUCAAGGCCGGUGCUGGUCCAGGGAGAGGAAGCACAGGGCCGAGGCUGGGCCAGAUGGUGCCACUUGUACAGGCUGGAGUUCCUCGUAGGACCACCUGCUUACCUUCAUGCUGCCCGACCCCACUGCAGCCCUGGGAACCCUCUGCUCCAUGAACUGACUUGACUCCACUCGGUAAAAAUCUACCCUCAGGAGCUGUAACAGGGUGAGGGCCUAAGGCACCUGGGCUCAACUUUUCUCCCAUGAAUUAUACUUCCUGCCACAGAAAUCUGGAAGCUGCGAUACACACAGACGUCAGCCUUCUAACUUAGCCUGGCCGGCACGGAAAUGAAGUCCUAGGUCCCCCACCUUGAGGACACCCGACUCCAUGGGAACUCCACCCCAGACCAAGAUGCAUCUCUGUCCCAAGGCUUGUCCUCCAUUCUCUGAGAGGGGACUGUUUUAAUUUUGCCUAAUAAACCUCUUCACUCCUCUUGCUGAUGAAUCUUGAAAAUACUUUUUCUGCGAUGGAAGUCAGCGAACUUUCAACCUGUUGCAUGGGUGUGGUGAGUCCCAAUUCCCAUCUUCAGUUUGGGGACUUGGACCCUGUCCAGUGACACCUGGUGCUAGCUGUUUACUGAGCUUGGGUUUUAUUUUGUGGAAUGGCUGGAGGAUGCAGGCAUGUGUCCCCUCCAAUACUUACUGGCUGUCUUCCUAGUGGGUUUUGGUUCCUCAGCCAUGAAAAAGUGUAGCCUGAAUAAAAUCCAGCACUGCUGUGGUCCAGGACCACAGGGCCAUGCACAAGGACAGCAGCCUGGGGGAAAUUCCAUGCAUCAGCCUGUAGCCUGUUGGUUGGACACACCUGUGUCAAAGUAAAAAUGCCUUAAAAAAGGAAGCUUGUUGCUUAUACACAUUAACUAUAUUAUGUAUUUUAUACGAAGCACAAGGCAAUUCCUUGUCCCCUCCUGUGGCCCAGGCAGGCCAGGCCUAUCCCAC
RNAcentral lists this long non-coding RNA (3700 nucleotides) under Heterocephalus glaber (naked mole-rat). Its description in RNAcentral is "lncRNA (ENSHGLG00100047137.1)". The record is from RNAcentral. Lineage: Eukaryota; Metazoa; Chordata; Mammalia; Rodentia; Bathyergidae.